UCUCCGUUGGUGAACCAGCGGAGGGAUCAUUACCGAGUUUACAACUCCCAAACCCCUGUGAACAUACCAUUUGUUGCCUCGGCGGUGCCUGCUUCGGCAGCCCGCCAGAGGACCCGAACCCUUGAUUUUAUACAGUAUCUUCUGAGUAAAUGAUUAAAUAAAUCAAAACUUUCAACAACGGAUCUCUUGGUUCUG
RNAcentral lists this unclassified non-coding RNA (195 nucleotides) under plant metagenome. RNAcentral describes it as "partial contains small subunit ribosomal RNA, internal transcribed spacer 1, and 5.8S ribosomal RNA". The record is from RNAcentral.